UGCCAGCCGCCGCGGUAAUACGAAGGGAGCUAGCGUUGUUCGGAAUUACUGGGCGUAAAGCGCGCGUAGGCGGAUUUUUAAGUCAGGGGUGAAAUCCCGGAGCUCAACUCCGGAACUGCCUCUGAUACUGGAAAUCUAGAGAUUGGAAGAGGUGUGUGGAACUCCUAGUGUAGAGGUGGAAUUCGUAGAUAUUAGGAAGAACACCAGAGGCGAAGGCGACACACUGGUCCGAUACUGACGCUGAGGUGCGAAAGCGUGGGGAGCAAACAGGAUUAGAUA
Molecule: ribosomal RNA, 279 nt
Filed under: uncultured bacterium
Lineage: Bacteria
Description: partial 16S ribosomal RNA
Rfam family: Bacterial small subunit ribosomal RNA
Source: RNAcentral